RNAcentral lists this ribosomal RNA (440 nucleotides) under uncultured bacterium. RNAcentral describes it as "partial 16S ribosomal RNA". It matches the Rfam family "Bacterial small subunit ribosomal RNA", at positions 338 to 795 of the family's 1533-position model. The record is from RNAcentral.
CCUACGGGAGGCAGCAGUGGGGGAUAUUGCACAAUGGGGGGAACCCUGAUGCAGCGACGCCGCGUGGGUGAAGAAGCGCCUCGGCGCGUAAAGCCCUGUCAGCAGGGAAGAAAAUGACGGGACCUGAAGAAGAAGCCCCGGCUAACUACGGGCCAGCAGCCGCGGGAAUACGUAGGGGGCAAGCGUGAGCCGGAUUUACUGGGUGUAAAGGGGGCGCAGACGGCGAUGCAAGCCAGGAGUGCAAGCCCGGGGCCCAACCCCGGGACUGCUCUUGGAACUGCGUGGCGGGAUUGCAGGAGGGGCAGGCGGAAUUCCUGGUGUAGCGGUGAAAUGCGUAGAUAUCAGGAGGAACCCCUGUGGCGCCGGCGGCCUGCUGGACUGCAACUGACGUUGUGUCCCGCAAGCGUGGGGAGCAAACAGGAUUAGAUACCCUUGUAGUC